GACGGAAAAAGCCAAACCAGUUGUGAGGCUGGGACGGAAAGCCUAAGGGUCUUUAAGUCAGUAUUAAGGGAUGUAGAUAUACAAGGAAGCACUAAAAGAUAGCCGGGUCACCCUU
Molecule: non-coding RNA, 115 nt
Filed under: Oceanicoccus sagamiensis
Lineage: Bacteria; Pseudomonadati; Pseudomonadota; Gammaproteobacteria; Cellvibrionales; Spongiibacteraceae
Description: c-di-GMP sequence
Rfam family: c-di-GMP-I riboswitch aptamer
About the family: GEMM was predicted in a large-scale screen for bacterial structured RNA regulatory elements. Genes associated with GEMM are involved in a diverse array of functions, including chemotaxis regulation, signal transduction, secretion and chitin.
Source: Rfam by way of RNAcentral